GCGACAUGCUUCUUGCUGCUUGGCUCACUUCGUCGCUGUGGAUAUUUGUUGCUGCGCUUCAUCAUCCAAAGCCAAGUUGCCUCAGUUGUGUCAAGUUGUGAUAGAGACUCACACUCAGGACUCCGAAUAAUAUGCCAUCACGAGGUACAGGGCGAAUAUGCACGUUUCUCGUGCGUCACUUGGACGAUGAGACCUUCGGCGACAGGCUCUGCUGGCUGGACAAGGAAUGCGGAGUGUUCCGGAUAUUUUGGCCGCAUGGGAACUCUUGCAUGUUCCAAAGGAAAAAGGAUUACGCAGUAUUCGCCGCUUGGGAUUGUUUGAAAGGCCGACAAAGGGACAAAUGCGAAGAUGAAAAGAUCUUCUGUGACGCUAAACACAGGUUCCGCACGGCUUUGAAGAAAAUGGAUGUGAAAAAACUCGUGUCUUGGAAACACAAGCAUCCUCCAAAAUACUACCAUUUCAGGCAAAUACCUAUGGAGGAUCUAAAGCUUCUGGAGCAACGUCGAUCCUUUGCUGAGCGUCCUUUGCCGGCCAAAGUACGAAAGAACUCCGCUGGAGAUUGCAACCGUAGUGAACCUAUCCUGAUAGAGAACCUCGAAAACACAGCCCCAGCACAAGUGACGCCACGAAAUGAACAGUGCGGCAAGUUGUCGCCUUCCAAUAAUUUCGAUUAUUCGCGAGAUUUUGCGAUAGGCAUGUGGACUGAACUCUUUGAAGAACAUGACUGGCUGCCAAUGCUCAUUUCUCCGCAUGGAUCAGACCUUUCAUAAAUAUUGCCACCAAGCUGCGAAUGCCUAGUCAAGUGCGAGUGAACCCGUUGCAGGCUAUGGUUUUCUUUUGAUCUGCAUGAGAAGUGUACAUACUUAUAAUAAAAACACGUU
Molecule: long non-coding RNA, 881 nt
Organism: Ornithodoros turicata
Lineage: Eukaryota; Metazoa; Arthropoda; Arachnida; Ixodida; Argasidae
Exons: 4
Source: RefSeq, a predicted model, not a curated record